CGGGUGAGUAACACGUGAGUGACCUGCCUUUUAGACUGGAACAACUUACCGAAAGGUGAGCUAAUGCCGGAUGAGUUAUAUAAGUGCAUGUUUAUAUAGGAAAAGUUGGGGAGACCUGACGCUGAAAGAUGGACUCGCGUCCCAUUAGCUAGUUGGUAGGGUAAUGGCCUACCAAGGCGACGAUGGGUAGCCGGCCUGAGAGGGUGGCCCGCCACACUGGGACUGAGACACGGCCCAGACUCCUACGGAAGGCAGCAG
RNAcentral lists this ribosomal RNA (258 nucleotides) under uncultured bacterium. RNAcentral describes it as "partial 16S ribosomal RNA". It matches the Rfam family "Bacterial small subunit ribosomal RNA", at positions 103 to 354 of the family's 1533-position model. The record is from RNAcentral.